UGCAAGUCGAACGGGAUCUGAGGAUAGCUUGCUAUCCGAUUUGAGAGUGGCGCACGGGUGCGUAACGCGUGAGCAACCUACCCAUAUCAGGGGGAUAGCCCGAAGAAAUUCGGAUUAACACCGCAUAACAAUGUAGUAACACAUGUUACCACAUUUAAAUAUUUAUAGGAUAUGGAUGGGCUCGCGUGACAUUAGCUAGUUGGUAAGGUAACGGCUUACCAAGGCAACGAUGUCUAGGGGCUCUGAGAGGAGAAUCCCCCACACUGGUACUGAGACACGGACCAGACUCCUACGGGAGGCAGCAGUAAGGAAUAUUGGUCAAUGGGCGCAAGCCUGAACCAGCCAUGCCGCGUGCAGGAUGACUGCCCUAUGGGUUGUAAACCGCUUUUGUUAGGGAAUAAACCUGAUUAUGUAUAAUCAGCUGAAUGUACCUAAAGAAUAAGGAUCGGCUAACUCCGUGCCAGCAGCCGCGGUAAUACGGAGGAUCCAAGCGUUAUCCGGAUUUAUUGGGUUUAAAGGGUGCGUAGGUGGCUUAAUAAGUCAGGGGUGAAAGACAUCGGCUCAACCGAUGCAGUGCCUUUGAUACUGUUGAGCUUGAAUUAUGUUGAAGAUGGCGGAAUGAGACAAGUAGCGGUGAAAUGCAUAGAUAUGUCUCAGAACACCGAUUGCGAAGGCAGCUGUCUAAGCAUUGAUUGACACUGAUGCACG
Molecule: ribosomal RNA, 708 nt
Filed under: uncultured bacterium
Lineage: Bacteria
Description: bacterial SSU rRNA
Rfam family: Bacterial small subunit ribosomal RNA
Source: RNAcentral